GUGUCAGCCGCCGCGGUAAUACGUAGGAGGCGAGCGUUAUCCGGAUUUACUGGGCGUAAAGAGGGCGUAGGCGGCUUUUCAAGUCGGAUGUAAAAUCUCCCGGCUUAACUGGGAGGGACCAUCCGAUACUGUUGGGCUAGAGGGCAGCAGGGGGAGGUGGAAUUCCCGGUGUAGUGGUGAAAUGCGUAGAUAUCGGGAGGAACACCAGUGGCGAAGGCGGCCUCCUAGGCUGUUUCUGACGCUGAGGCCCGAAAGUGUGGGUAGCGAACAGGAUUAGAUACCCUGGUAGUCCACACCGUAAACGAUGGACACUAGGUAUAGGGAGUAUCGACCCUCUCUGUGCCGAAGCUAACGCUUUAAGUGUCCCGCCUGGGGACUACGGCCGCAAGGCUAAAACUUAAAUGAAUUGGCGGGG
Molecule: ribosomal RNA, 415 nt
Filed under: uncultured prokaryote
Description: bacterial SSU rRNA
Rfam family: Bacterial small subunit ribosomal RNA
Source: RNAcentral